This 863-nucleotide long non-coding RNA is filed under the name Sus scrofa (pig). Its description in RNAcentral is "lncRNA (ENSSSCG00015003088.1)". Lineage: Eukaryota; Metazoa; Chordata; Mammalia; Artiodactyla; Suidae. The record is from RNAcentral.
GGCCCUGUCACUAAAUCCUGACUUGCCUACACUGGGACUGCAAGACAUGCCUCACCUCCAGGCGGGACCUGCAGCUCUGCCACAGUGACAGCUCAGGGCAGAUAAGAUCAGCCCCUCAGAGUUCCCAUCGUGGCGCAGCGGAGACAAAUCCGACUAGGAACCAUGAGGUGGCGGGUUCGAUCCCUGGCCUCGAGCUCAGUGGGUUAAGGAUCCUGAGUUGCCAUGAGCUGUGGUGUAGAUCGCAGAUGAGGCAAGCUAAGACACACAGCCACACCUGUGGCAUAUGGAGGGUCCCAGGCUAGGAGUCAUAUCAGAGCUGCAGCUGCCGGCCUACACCACAGCCACAACUCGGGAUCCAAGCUGCGUCUGUGACCUUCACCACAGCUCACUCAACACCGGAUACUUAACCCACUGAGAGACACCAGGGAUCGAACCCACAUCCUCAUGGAUACUAGUCAGGGUCCAGGAGCUAGAAGAGGACACAGUCCUGGCCACCUAGAGCUUGGGGACUGGUACGAUCGAAGGGACGUGAGACAAGGACCCCCAUUCAACCGACUGGCUCCAAGCUGAGCCUUGGAGAGGUGGCUGGGGACAGGAGGAAAAGACGGAGCCCCCCCACGCAUUGCCAGGAUUUCUCUUUCCGUAUCCCAGCCUCCCUGCUCCCUGGGGCACACAGGUGGAUGGCGGAGGCAGCCAGUGAAGGCACCAACCGAGGGGCAGAACCUCCACAUGCCAUGGGCGCAGGCCAAAAGGAGAGAGUGAUGGAGGGAGGAAGAAACGCUGGGAGACACAACCUCCAAGUCUCAAGCGGAAACGGGGAGAGAGGCGUCAUGGGAGGGAGCAGCUCUCGAAGUCCCAGCUGG